Molecule: ribosomal RNA, 75 nt
Filed under: Pelobates cultripes (western spadefoot toad)
Lineage: Eukaryota; Metazoa; Chordata; Amphibia; Anura; Pelobatidae
Description: SSU_rRNA_eukarya
Source: RNAcentral
CAUAUCAACUUUCGAUGCCAUUGACUGCGCCUAACAUGGUGACCAUGGGUAACGGGGAAUCAGGGUUCAAUUCCG